AACGAACGCUGGCGGCAUGCCUAACACAUGCAAGUCGAACGAGACCUUCGGGUAUAGUGGCGCACGGGUGCGUAACGCGUGGGAACCUGCACUUAGGUUCGGAAUAACUCCCCGAAAGGGGUGCUAAUACCGGAUAAUGUCUUCGGACCAAAGAUUUAUCGCCUUUGGAUGGGCCUGCGUUGGAUUAGUGAGUUGGUAGGGUAAAAGCCUACCAAGGCGACGAUCCAUAGCUGGUCUGAGAGGAUGAUCAGCCACACUGGGACUGAGACACGGCCCAUACUCCAACGGGAGGCAGCAGUGGGGAAAAUAGGACAAUGGGCGAAAGCCUGAACCAGCAAUGCCGCGUGAGUGAUGAAGGCCUUAGAGUUGUAAAUCUCUUUUACCCGAGAUGAUAUUGACAUAACCGGGAGAAUAGGCUUCGGCUAACUCCGU
RNAcentral lists this ribosomal RNA (432 nucleotides) under uncultured bacterium. RNAcentral describes it as "partial 16S ribosomal RNA". It matches the Rfam family "Bacterial small subunit ribosomal RNA", at positions 29 to 506 of the family's 1533-position model. The record is from RNAcentral.